This 254-nucleotide ribosomal RNA is filed under the name uncultured bacterium. RNAcentral's name for it is "partial 16S ribosomal RNA". It matches the Rfam family "Bacterial small subunit ribosomal RNA", at positions 524 to 776 of the family's 1533-position model. The record is from RNAcentral.
UACGUAGGGUGCGAGCGUUAAUCGGAAUUACUGGGCGCAAAGCGCGCGCAGGCGGCUCUUUAAGUCUGACGGUGAAAUGCCGGGGCUCAACCCCGUGCCCGCCGCGGAUACUGGAGGGCUGGAGACACGUAGAGGCAAGCGGAAUUCCGGGUGUAGCGGUGGAAUGCGUAGAGAUCCGGAAGAACACCGGAGGCGAAGGCGGCUUGCUGGGCGUAGUCUGACGCUGAGGCGCGAAAGCGUGGGGAGCGAACAGG